GACGAACGCUGGCGGCGUGCUUAACACAUGCAAGUCGAACGGAAAGGCCCUGCUUUUGUGGGGUGCUCGAGUGGCGAACGGGUGAGUAACACGUGAGUAACCUGCCCUUGACUUUGGGAUAACUUCAGGAAACUGGGGCUAAUACCGGGUAGGAGCUCCUGCUGCAUGGUGGGGGUUGGAAAGUUUCGGCGGUUGGGGAUGGACUCGCGGCUUAUCAGCUUGUGGGUGGGGUAGUGGCUUACCAAGGCUUUGACGGGUAGCCGGCCUGAGAGGGUGACCGGCCACAUUGGGAAUGAGAUACGGCCCAGACUCCUACGGGAGGCAGCAGUGGGGAAUAUUGCACAAUGGGCGGAAGCCUGAUGCAGCAACGCCGCGUGCGGGAUGACGGCCUUCGGGUUGUAAACCGCUUUCGCCUGUGACGAAGCGUGAGUGACGGUAAUGGGUAAAGAAGCACCGGCGAACUACGU
RNAcentral lists this ribosomal RNA (467 nucleotides) under uncultured bacterium. RNAcentral describes it as "partial 16S ribosomal RNA". It matches the Rfam family "Bacterial small subunit ribosomal RNA", at positions 28 to 506 of the family's 1533-position model. The record is from RNAcentral.